Molecule: ribosomal RNA, 427 nt
Filed under: uncultured Candidatus Protochlamydia sp.
Lineage: Bacteria; Pseudomonadati; Chlamydiota; Chlamydiia; Parachlamydiales; Parachlamydiaceae
Description: bacterial SSU rRNA
Rfam family: Bacterial small subunit ribosomal RNA
Source: RNAcentral
UCGAGAAUCAUUCGCAAUGGGCGAAAGCCUGACGAUGCGACGCCGUGUGAGCGAUGAAGGCCUUAGGGUCGUAAAGCUCUUUCGCUUGGGAACAAGAGAAGCUGACGAAUAAUCAGUUAAUUUGAGGGUACCAGGUAAAGAAGCACCGGCUAACUCCGUGCCAGCAGCUGCGGUAAUACGGAGGGUGCAAGCAUUAAUCGGAUUUAUUGGGCGUAAAGGGCGCGUAGGCGGUAUGAUAAGUCAGAUGUGAAAUCCCGGGGCUCAACCCCGGAACAGCAUUUGAAACUAUCAUUCUAGAGGGUAGGCGGAGAAAACGGAAUUCCACAAGUAGCGGUGAAAUGCGUAGAUAUGUGGAAGAACACCGGUGGCGAAGGCGGUUUUCUAGCUUAUUCCUGACGCUAAGGCGCGAAAGCAAGGGGAUCAAACA